UCCCGGCUAGCUCAGUCGGUAGAGCGUCAGACUCUUAAAAAGAGUCUCUUCGGUUACGAAGAGUUAUCUGAAUGUCGUGGGUUCGAGCCCCACGUUGGGAG
RNAcentral lists this transfer RNA (101 nucleotides) under Malassezia brasiliensis. RNAcentral's name for it is "tRNA-Lys". It matches the Rfam family "tRNA". From Rfam's summary of the family: Transfer RNA (tRNA) molecules are approximately 80 nucleotides in length. Their secondary structure includes four short double-helical elements and three loops (D, anti-codon, and T loops). Lineage: Eukaryota; Fungi; Basidiomycota; Malasseziomycetes; Malasseziales; Malasseziaceae. The record is from RNAcentral.